AAGUCGUAACAAGGUUUCCGUAGGGUAAGUUAAUUAUCAAAUCUUCGAUUUUACAAGAAAUACUAACGUGUUACAGUGAACCUGCGGAAGGAUCAUUACCGAGUAAUUGGUCGUUAUUUAUAGCACCAAACUCCCACCCUUAUGUUUACUACAAUUUGUUAUCUUUGGCAAAGCGUUUUUCUAAGAACCACCGAUAGUGAAAACUAUGAGUGAGACUUUGCCAAAGUUUUCAACUCUUGAACUUUUUAUGGUUGUCUGAGUUUAACAAAGAAAUAAUUAAAA
Molecule: unclassified non-coding RNA, 282 nt
Filed under: plant metagenome
Description: partial contains small subunit ribosomal RNA and internal transcribed spacer 1
Source: RNAcentral